AUUGAACGCUGGCGGCAGGCUUAACACAUGCAAGUCGAGCGGGGACUUCGGUCCUAGCGGCGAACGGGUGAGGAAUGCUUGGGAAUCUGCCCAGUAGCGGGGGAUAACGUUUCGAAAGGAACGCUAAUACCGCAUACGCCCUACGGGGGAAAGGGGGGGAUCUUCGGACCUCUCACUAUUGGAUGAGCCCAAGUCGGAUUAGCUAGUUGGUGAGGUAAAGGCUCACCAAGGCGACGAUCCGUAGCUGGUCUGAGCGGAUGAUCAGCCACACUGGAACUGAGACACGGUCCAGACUCCUACGGGAGGCAGCAGUGGGGAAUAUUGGACAAUGGGCGACAGCCUGAUCCAGCCAUGCCGCGUGUGUGAAGAAGGCCUUCGGGUUGUAAAGCACUUUAAGCGAGGAGGAAUGGCUCCGGGUUAAUACCCUUGAGCAUAGACGUUACUCGCAGAAUAAGCACCGGCUAACUCUGUGCCAGCAGCCGCGGUAA
This 488-nucleotide ribosomal RNA is filed under the name uncultured bacterium. RNAcentral describes it as "partial 16S ribosomal RNA". It matches the Rfam family "Bacterial small subunit ribosomal RNA", at positions 30 to 523 of the family's 1533-position model. The record is from RNAcentral.